Molecule: unclassified non-coding RNA, 296 nt
Filed under: uncultured fungus
Lineage: Eukaryota; Fungi
Description: partial contains small subunit ribosomal RNA, internal transcribed spacer 1, and 5.8S ribosomal RNA
Rfam family: Eukaryotic small subunit ribosomal RNA (bases 1-73)
Source: RNAcentral
UCAAACUUGGUCAUUUAGAGGAAGUAAAAGUCGUAACAAGGUCUCCGUUGGUGAACCAGCGGAGGGAUCAUUACCGAGUUUCUACUCUCCAACCCAAUGUGAACCUUACCCGUCGUUGCUUCGGCGGGAGUGCCCCGGCGCCCCUCGGGGGCUAGCCCGGAACCAGGCGCCCGCCGGAGGACCACCAAACUCCAUGUUUUACAACCUAACUGUACCGUCUGAGUGGCAUAAGCAAAAAAUGAAUCAAAACUUUCAACAACGGAUCUCUUGGCUCUGGCAUCGAUGAAGAACGCAGC